This 467-nucleotide ribosomal RNA is filed under the name uncultured archaeon. RNAcentral describes it as "bacterial SSU rRNA". It matches the Rfam family "Archaeal small subunit ribosomal RNA", at positions 1 to 474 of the family's 1478-position model. The record is from RNAcentral.
UUCUGGUUGAUCCCGCCGGACCUGACUGCUAUCGGAUUGAUACUAAGCCAUGCGAGUCUUUGUAGUAAUACAAGGCAGACGGCUCAGUAACACGUAGUCAACCUACCCUAUGGACGAGAAUAAUCUCGGGAAACUGAGCAUAAUUCUUGAUAGAUCAUAAUGCCUGGAAUGGUUUAUGGUUAAAAUGAUUCGUCGCCAUAGGAUGGGACUGCGGCCUAUCAGCUUGUUGGUGAGGUAAUGGCCCACCAAGGCGAUUACAGGUACGGGCUCUGAGAGGAGAAGCCCGGAGAUGGGUACUGAGACACGGACCCAGGCCCUAUGGGGCGCAGCAGGCGAGAAAACUUUGCAAUGUGCGAAAGCACGACAAGGUUAAUCCGAGUGAUUUCUGCUAAAGAAAUCUUUUGCCAGUCGUAAAACCGCUGGUGAAUAAGGGGUGGGCAAGUUCUGGUGCCAGCAGCCGCGGUAAU